AUGAGAAUUUUUUGUGCAGCAUACACAUGGAUAAACAAGGUGAAAGGAGUUGGCUCGGAGUUGCAAGAUCCAACGGCCACCUGUAGCACUUGUGUGAUGACGAAGUUGAAGAGGAUCUCCAAGAAGCCGUAUCAUGGCGGGUUUGGCCAGCACGAAGAAGAAGGUCUGCUCGGCGGCGCCGGCCUCGGGCCAGAGCUGCUCGAUCUUGAGGACCGACUUCUCCGACUCGGCCAAUUCCUAGGACGUGUGCGGAGCUCGCCGACGGCGCUCUCCAUUGUUGCCUGCACGAUGACGCUGGUCGGGUGGCCAGUGGUGUCCGGGGACGGCGAGUUGAUCUUGAACGUAGGCGCUGGGCUUUCCAUCCUCACUAGCGGCGGUUCGGGGACGACGAGUUGUUCCGGGUUCUGCUCUCGCUAG
Molecule: ribosomal RNA, 417 nt
Filed under: Triticum aestivum (bread wheat)
Lineage: Eukaryota; Viridiplantae; Streptophyta; Magnoliopsida; Poales; Poaceae
Description: partial small subunit ribosomal RNA
Source: RNAcentral